This is a long non-coding RNA of Homo sapiens (human), 1741 nucleotides long. Ensembl annotates it as long intergenic non-protein coding RNA 2805. Lineage: Eukaryota; Metazoa; Chordata; Mammalia; Primates; Hominidae. The record is from Ensembl.
AGACAGACUCCGGGGCCCUCAACUGGUCUCCGACCUUCCCCUGCAACCUGCGACACCUGCCAUUUUCCCAUCUUAGGCUCCAGAAGCAGAAUCAAGUGGGAUGUCUUGGAAGAAAAACAAACAAAAGGCCCACUAGGUGGAGUGAAAUGGAUCAGGAGCAAUUAUGUUCAAUUUCACCUUUAAGUUUUCUCAAAAGGAGGAGCAUUAAGAAUCAGCCACCUUAGUACAUACUUAAAGGUAAAUAUUACAUUUAAGAAAAUCCUUGUUAUCUUAAUGUGGCACUGAGAAAAUACUAUCAAGUACAGCACGUGGACUAAGUUAGAACAUUAAAUACACAGGAUCUCUUGAUAGAAUUAUCCUCAGACUUUCCAGUUUUAAUCUUCUAGAUUUACUGAAACCUGAUCCUGUCCCCGCUGAUGAAACAUCAGAGGAAUGGGAUCCUGUAGGUGAAGAUCAUCAGCUUAUAAAAUCCUGUUGCCAUCAAUGGGGGUAGCAGGAAAAUGAUGAAGAUUGGUUAAGGGGCCAGUGGACUCAGCAUUGAAAUGAAUCAUGGACUUGAAGCCAAAAGACUCAGUUUGUGUCCCAGCUCUCUCAAGCAAAGCCCCCAAGUCCCAGUUUCCUCAUCUAUAAAAAAUAAUAAAAAUACUUAAUGGACAAAGUUGUGUGGGAAUCAAAUGAGAUAAAGUAUGCGCUGCAUAUGCCCUAAAGUCUUAUUUAAAUAAAGGCAUUCUUUUCAUCUGAGAAAUUGAAGAAAAAGAUGCCCUGAACAAGAAAGACAGGAGAAAAGAUUUUUUUUUUUUUUAAUGAAGGAUAAAAUGAUGAAAUCCCCCCAGGUAUUGCUACAGAAAGGCCUUACCCAUGAGCUGUAGGCAUAUAUCCGGUCCUAAGGUCCAUUUUGGAGUAGCCCAGCACUCAGUCUGAAAGAUUGGACACUGAGAAAUAUGUGCAUCCCAUUUUUCUAACUAGCAGCAUUUUGAUCCUGUCUUAUUAUCCAUACCCAGGCUAGCACACAUGAUUUUUUCUGCUUGCACUUCAGGAGAAGAUAGUCAUUGGACAAAAGUCCACAGGUCGAGAGGAACCAUACUUGAAGAAACAUACCUGAAGGGUUUCAUCCAUAUGUGGGCCUGAUUUGGAUGAUAAAAUCCUGCAUCUUGAGCCUGAUCUUGAUGCUGCCUGUGUUCUGAUGCCAUCAGGAGUUGAGAGUCUAGGGGUUUUAGAAAGGGUGAAUGUAUUUUCCCAUAGGCAAGGAACAUAAUCAAUGGCCAAAAUGUGCACUGUGACAGAUUAAAGGUUGCUACAAAUUCUCUGAUACCCUUCCAUUAAGAGGUAGGGCAGAUAUUCCCUCCCCUCAAAUCUGGGUGGGCUCCAUGACUUGCUUUGAUCAACAGAAAACGGCAGCAGUGAUGCUGGGCCAGUUGUUGGAUCCAGGCCUUAAGAACCAACAACUUCCACUUAAGUUCUCUUGGAACACUGAGUCCCUGACUACCCUAAUAUCAUGUUGGAAAGGCUACAUGUAGGCACUCUAGUUGCCAGUCCCAGCCAAGACCAGCUUUUCAGCCAUCCCCAUCACUAAAUUUGUAAAUGAAGCCAUCUGGAAUCUCCAGACCAGCUCAUUUGGCAGCUGGGUAUCAUCAAGUUAUCUCUGCUGACUCCACAUGGAACAAAGGAAUCACCCAGCUGAGCCCUAUUCAAACUAUUGACCAAAAAAAUAGUGAGACAUAAUAAAAUGAUGUUUUAAGCC